This 414-nucleotide ribosomal RNA is filed under the name Succinea daucina. RNAcentral describes it as "partial 16S ribosomal RNA". The record is from RNAcentral. Lineage: Eukaryota; Metazoa; Mollusca; Gastropoda; Stylommatophora; Succineidae.
CUGCUCAAUGAAAACAUUUAAAUAGCCGCAGUACUUUGACAGUGCUAAGGUAGCAUAAUCAAUUCGUCUUUUAAUUAGAGACUGGAAUGAAUGAAAUCAUGAUUAAAUUCUAUAUUAUUUAUAUUUAGUAAAAAUUAUUUUUUUAGGUGAAAAUACCUAUAAAUAUUUAUUAGACGAGAAGACCCCAGGAAUUUGAAUUAUUUUUUAUUGGGGCGAUAAAUAAACAGUUUUAAACUUUAUUUUUUUUAUUAAGCGAGAUAUUCUAAUAAGAGAAAAAUUACCCUGGGGAUAACAGCAUAAUUUUUUAUAAAGAUUGUGACCUCGAUGUUGGAUUAGAAAACUUUCUACUUAGAGAGUAGAUUUGUUUUUGUUCUGUUCGAACAAUUUUUUUUAAUUAUUUUCUACGUGAUCUGA